UAGAAUGAGCUUGAAGCACAUUGAAUUCCAACUGAGGUCCUGCGGUGACCUGCUCCUCUAACAUUCCAAUUUCCAGUAGUCCAAGACUUUCAUUGGUAACAGUCAGUUUUUUGUUGGCUUCAUUCUCAACUCUGAUGUUUUUGUCCUCACUCCUCACUUCAACCUUCUCCUUCCAGUUCCAUUGCUAUAGCAUCUGUGUUCAUACUGUUCGUCCUGUGGGUCAUUCUGAUUCUUUUCUUCAUUCAUGGCAAAGAAGAUUAUUUAGUAAGGUUUCAUUCUCUCUCAUUUCCUUGUACAGGGUUUUCUCACAUCUGUGUGUUCAUACUGUUUUCUUCAUCAAGGCAAGAUGGUUAUUCAGUAAGGUUUCAUUCUCUCUCAUUUCCGUCUCCAGGUUUUCCUCAAAGAGGAGAUCCUCCUCACCUCCUAACAGGUCAUCUUCAGGAUUCAUGUCCGCAUGCAACGAUGCAAGUCGUCUGAGCUCAUUGUUGCACAUCCAUGUCUUCUGAGUUGGACUUGGGCUUACCUGGACAAGGACAUCAGACACAUGGCGAACCGAAAAGUUCCUUCAUUAGACGACAGAUUUGAUGGCGUUGUCGGUGCCACGUGCCAUAGGCUCAACCCCAGGAUGGUAAGAUUCUCAGGCUGGCAGGUGUGAAAAGAUGAAUUAUUCAAACAACAAAACUGUGCUAAAACAUCAAAAAGGUUAAUCCAUGUCCAAUCCAUCCCUCCCAAGACCCUAGAUAAUAGGGACCAACAUUCUCCCAAGAACCAAGAUAACAUGGACCAGCUAAAUUGAGAGUGUAAUAUAGCCUUUUUAGGGCUAUUUUAGCUUGAGUAUGUUAUAAUCAUGCUUUAGGGUUACUUUAUGAUCACUGAGAAGGAAAGGAAGGAGAUAUAGGUGUUGUUUGGCAUCAUGGGCUAUUCAAGUAGAAAUGCUGUCACCUCAUAUAGCAGGAUUUUUGACUUCAACCAUUAACAACCUGUUUAUCACAAAACACUUUGCAUGAAAAUCCAUAUACUAGCUAGCUAGGGUAUUUGAAGGAACAAUAAUUAACUAGACAUUUCCUAUUGUGCAGAGAAAAAGUCUGAAUGACCUGGCUGAUGUGAGGUGACAUUGAUUUAACACUUUCAUGGAUGAAUGAAAACUACCAAAACCUUCCACCAAAUAGAAUUAAAAGACAAAGGGUAUGUAGACUUCAAUAAGUUUCAAAAUGCAUGAAUGAAACUAUUGUUUCAACUCCAAACAGGUCCUCAGUUGUUGUUAUUGUUGGUUUUCCUCCAUGGGGGGAUGGAUUGAGGGUGUCUUGGCAGGAGGAGAGUACUGAGUAGUGAGUACACACACACAAGCAAGGAAUCUAGUGAGCUAAAUACAAAAGACCGUGCGGUAACAAAGUUGCUCAGGCCCAAGAGCCUACAUUCAAAGUAUGGGCUCAUUCUAUUGCAAGCGUGUGUGGUCAGUACCACGGGCACGGGACUCUCUUCUCCUGCUGCACAUCCCAUAAUUGUUACUGGCAUAAAAGUAUCCAUCAGUAGGUAAAGCAACCCCCAUCAGGACACGUGUCACCCUUUUAAGUGUGUCGUAUGACAUCCCCAUCAUCCCAGGUGAUGUCAACUGUACCCCACAACAGUGAAUCCCUCUGAACGAUCAGUUUUGGACGGCUCGGAUCGUUUCUUCACAUCCAUUCUCUGGAGCCUGGUUUAAAUGACCGGGUCGCGAUCCCCAUAUCAUUGCCACGUUUCUGUUUCUGAGUGGUUGACAUGACAUUUCGUCCGGUUCCCAGAAAUAAAUUCUGGGUUUUCUAUUUUUUUUUCUCUGUCUGUAAAUAAUAACGAAAUCGAGGCGGAGGGAGGGGGGACGUACGGAAAAGUCAAAAAAAACCCUACACUACACCCACCUAAAAAGGAGAGUUCAGAUCUGCGCUCCACUUCGG
Nelumbo nucifera (sacred lotus) is the source of this 1931-nucleotide long non-coding RNA. RefSeq lists it as uncharacterized. Lineage: Eukaryota; Viridiplantae; Streptophyta; Magnoliopsida; Proteales; Nelumbonaceae. The record is from RefSeq and is a predicted model, not a curated record.